GGCCCGUUGGUCUAGGGGUAUGAUUCUCGCUUUGGGUGCGAGAGGUCCCGGGUUCAGAUCCCGGACGGGCCC
Molecule: transfer RNA, 72 nt
Filed under: Dermacentor andersoni
Lineage: Eukaryota; Metazoa; Arthropoda; Arachnida; Ixodida; Ixodidae
Description: transfer RNA proline (anticodon UGG)
Rfam family: tRNA
About the family: Transfer RNA (tRNA) molecules are approximately 80 nucleotides in length. Their secondary structure includes four short double-helical elements and three loops (D, anti-codon, and T loops). Further hydrogen bonds mediate the characteristic L-shaped molecular structure. tRNAs have two regions of fundamental functional importance: the anti-codon, which is responsible for specific mRNA codon recognition, and the 3' end, to which the tRNAs corresponding amino acid is attached (by aminoacyl-tRNA synthetases). tRNAs cope with the degeneracy of the genetic code in two manners: having more than one tRNA (with a specific anti-codon) for a particular amino acid; and 'wobble' base-pairing, i.e. permitting non-standard base-pairing at the 3rd anti-codon position.
Source: RNAcentral